CGAAUGGGUCCAAAGACUCUUAAAACCUACCGUGCUCCCCUACGUGGACAUCAGGAAAGCCCUCCGGGGUAUAAGAAAUCUGAGAAGUUGAAGAACUGCGCUCCGGCGCAUGACUAAGACAAAAAAUUA
RNAcentral lists this unclassified non-coding RNA (129 nucleotides) under soil metagenome. RNAcentral's name for it is "partial internal transcribed spacer 1". The record is from RNAcentral.